This 233-nucleotide ribosomal RNA is filed under the name uncultured bacterium. RNAcentral describes it as "partial 16S ribosomal RNA". It matches the Rfam family "Bacterial small subunit ribosomal RNA", at positions 100 to 334 of the family's 1533-position model. The record is from RNAcentral.
CGGGACGGGUGAGUAAUGUCUGGGAAACUGCCUGAUGGAGGGGGAUAAAUACUGGAAACGGUAGCUAAUACCGCAUAACGUCGCAAGACCAAAGAGGGGGACCUUCGGGCCUCUUGCCAUCGGAUGUGCCCAGAUGGGAUUAGCUAGUAGGUGGGGUAACGGCUCACCUAGGCGACGAUCCCUAGCUGGUCUGAGAGGAUGACCAGCCACACUGGAACUGAGACACGGUCCAG